RNAcentral lists this ribosomal RNA (468 nucleotides) under uncultured bacterium. RNAcentral's name for it is "partial 16S ribosomal RNA". It matches the Rfam family "Bacterial small subunit ribosomal RNA", at positions 28 to 507 of the family's 1533-position model. The record is from RNAcentral.
GACGAACGCUGGCGGCGUGCUUAACACAUGCAAGUCGAACGGAAAGGCCCUGCUUUUGUGGGGUGCUCGAGUGGCGAACGGGUGAGUAACACGUGAGUAACCUGCCCUUGACUUUGGGAUAACUUCAGGAAACUGGGGCUAAUACCGGAUAGGAGCUCCUGCUGCAUGGUGGGGGUUGGAAAGUUUCGGCGGUUGGGGAUGGACUCGCGGCUUAUCAGCUUGUUGGUGGGGUAGUGGCUUACCAAGGCUUUGACGGGUAGCCGGCCUGAGAGGGUGACCGGCCACCUUGGGUCUGAGAAACGGCCCUGACUCCUACGGGAGGCAGCAGUGGGGAAUAUUGCACAAUGGGCGGAAGCCUGAUGCAGCAACGCCGCGUGCGGGAUGACGGCCUUCGAGUUGUAAACCGCUUUCGCCUGUGACGAAGCGUGAGUGACGGUAAUGGGUAAAGAAGCACCGGCUAACUACGUG